This 1163-nucleotide long non-coding RNA is filed under the name Equus asinus (donkey). Its description in RNAcentral is "lncRNA (ENSEASG00005032666.1)". Lineage: Eukaryota; Metazoa; Chordata; Mammalia; Perissodactyla; Equidae. The record is from RNAcentral.
AUCCUGCAAGUCUGGACAUGCCCUCGGAAGGGCAGCCCCAGGCAAGGUGCUAGGAGGGCAUCUUUCCCGUGGAAGUUUCAUCUCCUGGUUUCAGGAAGAAAAGAGGAGGUCAGAGAACUCUUCUUGCACCUGCUGUAUUUCAAGUGCCUUGAAACAGCCCUUCUGCCAAAGUGGACUAUUUUGGGGUGGUAUUUUCUGCUACUCUUCAGCCUCAAUGUGAAUUCUAGGCCAUAAGAACCCUAUGGAAAGGGGGAGGAGGGUUCUCCCACUUCCCUGACAAGAUACUACAAAACUGAAGCUGGACCGGAAGGGGUUGGCUGGGGACCGGUCAUGGAAGACUUUUGAUUCGCUCUAAAAGCGGGAAUUAGAAUUGUGGACACCAACAAUUGCAUCCAUCUAUCGUCAGUUUGGAUUCCUUCUCUGAAUUUAUGAAUGCACUGGAAUGUUUUCCUGAGUCACACAUUGGAGUAAGCUAUCCAACGCAGUUGUGUGGAAACUUUCAAAGUGGGAUCCAAAGAAGACCCCCCAACCGAUGACUCUGAGGCCAGUGAGCAAACAGGUGCUGGUACCCACAGAGCCCACUGAGCUCACUGCUUUCUCACUGACCCUGGAAUUUGAGGGAUCAGACAGCUGGAUGAAAUGAAUAAUAACCGCACACAUGAUGAAGACGAUGACUACAUGGCCCUCUGGCCUGACGACUCAACUCGUGGAAACAGCAAAUAACAUGAUUCUUUGGCCUGAUUACAUCAAUGGUAAUAACCCCUAAUAAUGCUAAACUAGUCUGAGAGAAUGACCAAAAGGGGGGAAUUGUUAAAAUCAAAAACAAAUGGAGACCAUCCAUGAAAAUUCCCUGAGCAGACAAAACAAGUUUAAUCAUACAAGGAAAGCUUAAUUUAGCUUAUUUUGCAAGACUAACUUGCCCUGGGUCAUUUCUUGCUUAUGUCUCUGGAAAUUACAAGCAAAAUUUGAACUGCUUCCCUAGGUUGAUAUGAGGUAAUCACUGAAAAUUCUAAUAUUAUAACCAAUACUGUGAAGAAUAAACAGUCACUGCUUUCUCACUAUAUAAGUUGCUUUAUAACAAUAUACCCCUGAGCCUCGUUCCAUGUUUUGGUUUGAGUGCUCCUGGUUUGCAGACUGUCUUUUUGGUGUGUACAAUAAACUUU